Dipodomys ordii (Ord's kangaroo rat) is the source of this 1317-nucleotide long non-coding RNA. RefSeq lists it as uncharacterized. The record is from RefSeq and is a predicted model, not a curated record. NCBI's taxonomy places the organism in Eukaryota, Metazoa, Chordata, Mammalia, Rodentia, Heteromyidae. The transcript has 3 exons.
AAGCUUUAAAAUACUCAAUUUUUCUUCAAUGUGGAAUGUAAUUAAAAUACAAUUAAUAGGUAAUAUGCAUUUCAAAUUCACUUGUACUAUCUACUGCUUAGAAAGUAAAUAUGACUAAUCAUAAUCACUUCAUAAUAAGCUUUCUCUAGAUUUCAUUUUCAGCUACAUUGGAACUCUUCUCAUGUUUGGAUGACAAUUUGCAAGUCAGUACUCUUUAGUAAUAUUCUUAGUUUGCUAAAGAUUAAGCUUUUCAUGUGAAAUCAUGGUAUCACUUAUUUUUACUUUUCUGAUUUUAGAAAUACUGAAGGAAGCUUAAGAGAAGUGGAACUGUGGUUCAGCUUAAGAAUUAUGUAUAUUGUCUAAAAAGUCUUUUCAUAUUUAACUCAAACAGAGAGAGAAAUGGUGUGAUUAAAUAACUAUAUUUUUCAAAGUUUGUGCCUAACAGCCUUUGAAGGGAGUUCACUACUGUGAUAUUAGGAAUUUUUUUUUCUUCAUCAUUGAUCUUGGGGGGAAAAUUUUACUGUAUGACUUACUAUUUACAACAUAAAUGCUGAUAGAAACAGCUGUCUAGUGAGAGAAUUGAGAUUUUCUUAGCAUUGCUCUCUAGGACAUGCUGUUCUGCAACUCUCAUGUGAAUACCAGAAAAGUGGCUUCCUGUGUUAGGUACUGUUUUAAUGUAGUGUAGCUCAAAGCGGUAUGUACGUACACUGGAUACCACAUUGUAAGUACACUACACUAACAAAUAUCAGUCUGUUUAGGUGGAAUGAUUUCUCAGCUGUUAGGGUUGUCACAGAGCCCAAGUACAUGUGUAAUUUUGAGCUAGCAUCAUAGUGCGUAGGAACCAGUGGUUGGUAUAUGCCGGUCAUCCCAUAAGAGUAGAUGUGUUUGGAUCUUCGUUAAAUUACUAAGUACAAAAUGUUUCGUGGUCCACACCCCAAAAAUGUUUACUUUUUCCCUUAUACGCUCUAGAAGGAAAUUUUAAACAAUCACACAUUUCAAAUAAAAUGGACAUCUCAUUAUUCUAUUUUAAAACUUCAACUGAUGCAUAAUAUUUGACUUUUCUGCAUAGGUUCUUACAAGGUCUUUCUGUGAAGAGAAACUUAUGUUUGCAAUUAUACCAGGACAAGGUCUACUUAUUAUCCUGGGGAAAAACUAAAAAAGAAAGAAAUGACAGUAUUGAAGGAAAUUGACAGAACUCCCAUAAAACCAAAGACUGGCAGAAACAAAGUAAAUAAUGAUGAAACUGAGCUACAGAUCACCCAGAAGAAGUAUCUCCUUCCAAAAAAAACUGUGGCAUUUCACUCUCUGAGAAACAAA